Molecule: ribosomal RNA, 265 nt
Filed under: uncultured bacterium
Lineage: Bacteria
Description: partial small subunit ribosomal RNA
Rfam family: Bacterial small subunit ribosomal RNA
Source: RNAcentral
AGAACGAACGCUGGCGGCAUGCCUAACACAUGCAAGUCGAACGCUUCCGGGGCUUCGGUCGCGGAGGAGUGGCGCACGGGUGAGUAGCGCGUGGGAACCUGCCCUGUUGUGGGGGAUAACCGAGGGAAACUUCGGCUAAUACCGCAUACGCCCCGGGACUUGGUCUUCGGAUUAGGUCUGGGGGGAAAGAUUGAUCGCAGCAGGAGGGGCCCGCGUCGGAUUAGCUGGUUGGUGGGGUAACGGCUCACCAAGGCGACGACGGGUA